Molecule: ribosomal RNA, 253 nt
Filed under: uncultured bacterium
Lineage: Bacteria
Description: partial 16S ribosomal RNA
Rfam family: Bacterial small subunit ribosomal RNA
Source: RNAcentral
UACAGAGGGUGCAAGCGUUGUUCGGAAUUAUUGGGCGUAAAGCGCGUGUAGGCGGCUUAGCAAGUCGGGCGUGAAAGCCCUCGGCUCAACCGAGGAAGUGCACCCGAAACUGCUGAGCUUGAGUGCCGGAGAGGAUGGCGGAAUUCCCCAAGUAGAGGUGAAAUUCGUAGAUAUGGGGAGGAACACCGGUGGCGAAGGCGGCCAUCUGGACGGUAACUGACGCUGAGACGCGAAAACGUGGGGAGCAAACAGG